CCUGAAGUUGAAGGGCGUGGACUUGC
RNAcentral lists this small RNA (26 nucleotides) under Bombyx mori (domestic silkworm). RNAcentral describes it as "piRNA piR-bmo-2009382". Lineage: Eukaryota; Metazoa; Arthropoda; Insecta; Lepidoptera; Bombycidae. The record is from RNAcentral.